GAGUGCCAUGUCUGGCCACGUCUGCCACCCUUCCCCCGCGUGGUUAUUAAUAAUUGGGCAUUAGGCAAGAGGCGACUAUCGAUUCUGGUGCAGGCAGCUCCAGGUCGGGGUAAUUUAUGGAAACACUGGCGUCCCUGGCGAUAAAUAAUGAGGUGAUCGCAGAGAUGGGUCACUAGUGAGUGGCCUCCAUCCUGCUUCCCUGUCCACUAGCACACCAGCUCGUAAACGGAGGGAGAGAGGGAGAGCCCGGCUGGCCUGAGAAGACAAAGACGCUGCCCCAAAGGAAUCACUCCGAGCCAGCACAGAUGCCGAGCCGCCUGUGGGCCAACUCCCAGCUCCACCCCAGGCCCAGCGCAGGGCCUCGGACCAGUCACUCCCCUCCUGGCACCCCAGUGCCCUCGUCUGUCCAGUUGUGAGGGUCAAACGGGUCAAGGUCAUGCACUCAGGGACCAAAACCCUUGGGGUGUCCAGAGAAAAUGAGAUGACAGUGGGCCAGGUGGCUCUGGGGAGACACCCUGCAAGAGCGUCCCCAGUGGCUGCUCUGUUCCCCGUGCCCCGUGCACUGCAGAGCAGACGCUGACCCCGUGGGAGCAUGACCUGGCUGUGCGGUUGGCCGAGUCCAGGCCGCUCCGACGUGGUGUCGGCAGGUGGGUUUUUACAUCACCUCAAAUGGUUUUUAAGAUGAUUGAACUACAACAGCUGCCACCCACAACCCAAGGCAGGGCCCAGGGCCAGCCCCAAGCAGUGACAGCCAGUGUGACUGGACAAUGUGAGCAGGGAGGGGCUUGGAAAGAGGACACGGGAGCAGCAGGCAGAGAAGGCCCCGGGGAGCAGGUCAUGGGGGCUUCAGAGGCCACCGUGAGCCUUGGGCUGUGCUCAAAGUGAGGUGGGAGGACUCUAGAGGAGGGGGGACUGGAACAAAGGAGUCCCCGUCUCCCUGUGCUGGGAAAGGAUCCGGGGCUGGCACGUGGAGGAGGCCCAAUGGAAGCAGAGAGACCUGUUAGGAAGCGGCUGCCGUCACCCAGGGAGCAUGACGCGGGCCUGCACCAUGGUGGCUGCGGAGGUGGCCCAAGCAGUGCAGUUGGGAUGUAAGCUGAGCACGGCCCGCGGGCCUCCUUGAGCAUGGGAGACCCACUGAGGCUGAUGCACGGGCUGUGGCUGGAGCAGCUGGUAAAUGGAGCUGCCUCUCCCAGCCCGGGGAAGACGUGCGAUGCCUGCUGGGGUGAGAAUGUCCCCUCCAAAAUGCACGUGGAACGUGGUUGCCACUGCAGUGGAAGGAAGAGGCGGGACCCAGAAGAGGUGAUCUGGAGCCUUGUGAAUGGAUGCAAAAGAGAGAUUAGGGCUCAGCCCAAUUUUUCUGUCUUCCCUGUGCUUUCUUCCCCGGCCAUGUUAUGACGCAGUACAGAGGCCUUCCCAGAGGCCGCGCCAGGUUCUUAGACUUCCCAGCCUCCAGAAGCACGAGCCGAAGAAGCUUCUGUUGUCUCUAACUUAGCCAGUCUUGGCAUCCGUGAGAGCAGCGGAAACAGCUCUUGAGGGGACCGUUGCACAGGGACCCUGCGGGGCAGGAGAGGCUGGGGAUGGCCGUGGAAAGGAGCAGCCAGAGAGGGCGGAGGACCCAGGGCACCUUGGGAGUCAUCUGAAGUCCAUGUUUGAAAGAGGAGGGAGAGGACAACCCUGCCAGAUGCCGGUGGGGGCACAAAUGCAAGCAGGUUGAGAGUUGACCAUCAGACUGGGCCACCCAGAGGUCACAGGUGACCUUGACGGAGCUGCUUUGAUGGCAUGUCGGAGACAAGCCUGGUAAGAGACGGGCCAGAGAGCACGUCAGACUCCUCCCCCACACCUUCCGAGGUGAUUUCAAAGGCUGACCGUGUCCCCACGCCUCCCUCUGCCCGCUGCUCCAGGCGCGCUCAGGAAUUCAGCUCGUCACACAGGAAGUGGACCGAGGGCUCCAUCCCACGGACAUGCACACUCCACCCACAGCAGUCUGACUCCGGUUUUCAUCUCUUCAUCUAGAAAGAUGCCACCUUGGUCCCCCUAAACCCUCCCAGGGGACAGGGGCACACGGCGCUGAAUGGAAAAGACAGGAGCAUGUUUACCAGGUUGUCCCAUCAGAGACGGAAGGUGCCCACCACGGUCACAGCCCCACUUUGAAGGAGUCUGGCUGCAGUGGUCUGUCAAGGUGAGAGGUUCAGAAAUGGUUUAUUGGUAGGAAAAAGCAGGGUGGGGCUCGAGGUGGAGCCGGCUGUGGGGACGGGUGGACGUCCAGGUGAGGCACCAGCAAGACUUGACAGUCUGCACCAAAGAAGCGGAAUGUCCUCCCUGGAUCAGGCUGAGAGACUCCAAACCGAGCGCCUACCCUAAGCCCCGGGUUCCUCAGCCUCAAAUGAGGGAGCCACAGAGGAGCCAGCUGGAGCUGCAGGUCUAGAGACCCGGCACCCGCCCCCACCCCUGCACCCCAACUCUGGGGCCUCCUCCCUCCCCCCUAGGAGGCCAGGGCUGCAGACACCAUUGCCCCCAGCUCUGGUCGAGAGAGAGGGGAGCUGAAUAUUCAGUAUCUGGGGAAACAAUAAAAGUCCCAGGAAGAACCUGGCUAAGGCAAUUACCUCUGCAUAAAUGCAUAUAUUAUUCAUCCGUGGCUUUGAAUAUAUAAAUAAUACUGAUACAAUUUGCAUGCGUUAAAAGGAGAUGUAAUUACCCACUGAUGCCUGUGAGUGCCUGGUACCCACCGGCCACGUUGCAGGCCUGCUGCUGCCCCCGGUAGCCCACCUUUGCCCUUUCUGGAGACAGAAUAUAUCACACAUGGGUUUUCUGCAGCAGCAGGGGGGCCGGCUCUGAGGUCCUGGGGCUUGUUGGACCUUGCUUCCUGUGGGCUGCUUUGGCUACCCGACUCUGUUCUAAAAACUUUGGGCUAUUUUAAUAUGAUUAUUAUAUUUGUUACUUUUAAAACCACGUUGUUUGGGGCUACAA
Molecule: non-coding RNA, 2967 nt
Organism: Ictidomys tridecemlineatus (thirteen-lined ground squirrel)
Lineage: Eukaryota; Metazoa; Chordata; Mammalia; Rodentia; Sciuridae
Source: RefSeq, a predicted model, not a curated record